RNAcentral lists this ribosomal RNA (501 nucleotides) under uncultured bacterium. Its description in RNAcentral is "partial 16S ribosomal RNA". It matches the Rfam family "Bacterial small subunit ribosomal RNA", at positions 30 to 523 of the family's 1533-position model. The record is from RNAcentral.
AUUGAACGCUGGCGGCAGGCUUAACACAUGCAAGUCGAGCGGGGGAAGGUAGCUUGCUACCGGACCUAGCGGCGGACGGGUGAGUAAUGCUUAGGAAUCUGCCUAUUAGUGGGGGACAACAUCUCGAAAGGGAUGCUAAUACCGCAUACGUCCUACGGGAGAAAGCAGGGGAUCUUCGGACCUUGCGCUAAUAGAAGAGCCUAAGUCGGAUUAGCUAGUUGGUGGGGUAAAGGCCUACCAAGGCGACGAUCUGUGGCGGGUCUGGGAGGAUGAUCCGCCACACUGGGACUGAGACACGGCCCAGACUCCUACGGGAGGCAGCAGUGGGGAAUAUUGGACAAUGGGGGGAACCCUGAUCCAGCCAUGCCGCGUGUGUGAAGAAGGCCUUAUGGUUGUAAAGCACUUUAAGCGAGGAGGAGGCUACUCUAGUUAAUACCUAGGGAUAGUGGACGUUACUCGCAGAAUAAGCACCGGCUAACUCUGUGCCAGCAGCCGCCGUAA